UGUAAUGCAAAUAAUGGAUGAUUGCGUGCAGUUAAUCAAUUUUCUCUUUUUGUGUUGUUUUUCACACAGAGCGAUGAGGCAAGAGAGAAGUUUUUAAAAACAGAAACAUGUGAUUGCGGAAACAACAUUGUUGGCAGGAGGACUCGGUGGAUUCAGAUAUAACUGUAGGUGCUGCUUGUAUGAAAGUGCUGAGCCACACCAUCCAGUAAGCUGUCUAGAGCAGCAGUUGGCUUGCUUGGAAAUCGCUUCCAGGACUGCGUUGUAAGUUGCUAUCGACUGAGUUGCCAGAACAUUGCUGUACAAAACUUUGGAGGGCCACUUCUUAAUGGAUUGCUGCAGCCUCUUAAUUCCUCCAUUGAUCCUGUUCCCUGCGUCGUGAGAACAUUUUAGCCAGCACAGAACCUAGAAAAGUUACAUGUAAGUCAUGAUUCAAAUUCCUUUCUAUUUAAAGAAGGAAAAAAAAAAAAAAAAGGGUCUUGGGGAAGCAAGGUGGAGGCAGUAAACAUCAUACUUCAGGAAAAAUACUGUAAAAGCUGUAAUUCAACAGCAAACAU
RNAcentral lists this long non-coding RNA (554 nucleotides) under Calidris pugnax (ruff). RNAcentral describes it as "lncRNA (ENSCPUG00000009639.1)". The record is from RNAcentral. Lineage: Eukaryota; Metazoa; Chordata; Aves; Charadriiformes; Scolopacidae.